UGGGGAAUUUUGGACAAUGGGCGAAAGCCUGAUCCAGCAAUGCCGCGUGUGUGAAGAAGGCCUUCGGGUUGUAAAGCACUUUUGUCCGGAAAGAAAUCCUUGGCUCUAAUACAGUCGGGGGAUGACGGUACCGGAAGAAUAAGCACCGGCUAACUACGUGCCAGCAGCCGCGGUAAUACGUAGGGUGCAAGCGUUAAUCGGAAUUACUGGGCGUAAAGCGUGCGCAGGCGGUUUGCUAAGACCGAUGUGAAAUCCCCGGGCUCAACCUGGGAACUGCAUUGGUGACUGGCAGGCUAGAGUAUGGCAGAGGGGGGUAGAAUUCCACGCGUAGCAGUGAAAUGCGUAGAGAUGUGGAGGAAUACCGAUGGCGAAGGCAGCCCCCUGGGCCAAUACUGACGCUCAUGCACGAAAGCGUGGGGAGCAAACAGGAUUAGAUACCCUGGUAGUCCACGCCCUAAAACGAUGUCAACUAGUUGUUGGGGAUUCAUUUCCUUAGUAACGUAGCUAACGCGUGAAGUUGACCGCCUGGGGAGUACGGUCGCAAGAUUAAAACUCAAAUGAAUUGACGGGGUCAUAGCUGUUUCCU
This 586-nucleotide ribosomal RNA is filed under the name uncultured bacterium. Its description in RNAcentral is "partial 16S ribosomal RNA". It matches the Rfam family "Bacterial small subunit ribosomal RNA", at positions 355 to 1375 of the family's 1533-position model. The record is from RNAcentral.